UACAGAGGGUGCAAGCGUUGUUCGGAAUUAUUGGGCGUAAAGGGAGUGUAGGCUGUUAAGUAAGUCUUCUGUGAAAUCUACGGGCUUACCCCGUAACGUGCAGAGGAAACUGCUUAGCUUGAGUGUCGGAGAGGAUAGGGGAAUACCCGGUGUAGAGGUGAAAUUCGUAGAGAUCGGGUGGAACACCAGUGGCGAAGGCGCCUAUCUGGCUGACAACUGACGCUGAGACUCGAAAGCAUGGGGAGCAAACAGG
RNAcentral lists this ribosomal RNA (253 nucleotides) under uncultured bacterium. RNAcentral's name for it is "partial 16S ribosomal RNA". It matches the Rfam family "Bacterial small subunit ribosomal RNA", at positions 524 to 776 of the family's 1533-position model. The record is from RNAcentral.